Molecule: small nuclear RNA, 107 nt
Filed under: Myotis davidii
Lineage: Eukaryota; Metazoa; Chordata; Mammalia; Chiroptera; Vespertilionidae
Source: RNAcentral
GUGCUCACUUCAGAAGCACAUAUACUAAAAUUGGACCGAUACAGAGAAGAUUAUCAUGGCCCCUGCACAAGGAUGACACGCAAAUUAGUGAAGCGGUCCAUAUUUUU